RNAcentral lists this ribosomal RNA (460 nucleotides) under uncultured bacterium. RNAcentral describes it as "partial 16S ribosomal RNA". It matches the Rfam family "Bacterial small subunit ribosomal RNA", at positions 338 to 795 of the family's 1533-position model. The record is from RNAcentral.
CCUACGUGUGGCAGCAGUGAGGAAUAUUGGUCAAUGGACGCAAGUCUGAACCAGCCAUGCCGCGUGCAGGAAGAAGGCACAGUGAGUUGUAAACUGCUUUUGUACGAGGAUAAACGCAGAUACGCGUAUCUGGCUGAGAGUAUCGUACGAAUAAGGAUCGGCUAACUCCGUGCCAGCAGCCGCGGUAAUACGGAGGAUUCGAGCGUUAUCCGGAUUUAUUGGGUUUAAAGGGUGCGUAGGCGGUCGGAUAAGUUAGAGGUGAAAUCCCGAGGCUCAACUCCGGAAUUGCCUCUGAUACUGUUAGUCUAGAGAGGAGGUGCGGUAGGCGGAAUGUACGGUGUAGCGGUGAAAUGCAUAGAUAUCGCGCAGAACUCCGAUUGCGAAGGCAGCAUACCGGCGCCAAACUGACGCUGAAGCACGAAAGCGUGGGUAUCGAACAGGAUUAGAUACCCGGGUAGUC